This 21-nucleotide non-coding RNA is filed under the name Arabidopsis thaliana (thale cress). Lineage: Eukaryota; Viridiplantae; Streptophyta; Magnoliopsida; Brassicales; Brassicaceae. The record is from RNAcentral.
UCGAAGGUGUUCUAUGGUCGC